AACGCACAUUGCGCCCGCCGGCAUUCCGGCGGGCAUGCCUGUUCGAGCGUCAUUUCAACCCUCAAGCCCUCUUCAAUGCUGGGCUUGGUGUUGGGGGAUCGCCCACCCGCCCUGCGCCCAGCGCGCAGGUGUAGGGGGCGACCCCUGAAAACUAGUGGCGGUUCCGCCCGCGGCAGCCCUUGCGUAGUAGCACAAACCUCGCACGUGGAGCCCGGCGGCAGCCCUGCCGUUAAACACCCCCCACGAGACUCCUGUUUUGUGUUCCAUGAGUUGACCUCGGAUCAGGUAGGAAUACCCGCUGAACUUAA
This 308-nucleotide unclassified non-coding RNA is filed under the name uncultured Sordariomycetes. RNAcentral's name for it is "sequence contains ITS2". The stretch from base 1 to 52 matches the Rfam family "5.8S ribosomal RNA", at positions 103 to 154 of the family's 154-position model. The record is from RNAcentral. Lineage: Eukaryota; Fungi; Ascomycota; Sordariomycetes.